AUCCCCCUUCCCUUUCUGUCCCCCUUUGUCCUUCCCUUCUUCGUUUCUUCCUCUUGCUUGAAACAGUGCCAGUGUAGCCCAGGUUGAACUUGAGUCGGCUUCUGAUGCUCUUGCCAGCACCUAGUCCGUGCUGGGGUUACAGGCAUGUCCCAGCGUACCCCAGUACCUAGUCCGUGCUGGGGUUACAGGCGUGUCCCGGCGUACCCAGUUUACCCGGUUUAUUUGUUGUUUUUAACAUCCUUGUUUGAGAAAGACAACUUGCGUUAUGCCUUCAGGCCUUUCCAGCUUUAUCAGUUGUUUUGAUGUUCCUUGACUCCCAGUCAGCAAGGAAACCAAACUAAAAUUGAGGGGGAGGGGCUUCGUUCCCUCUCCCGUCCCCUUAAACGGCUUUCUAUCCUGCCUCAGAUGCGUGGACCACCACCGGCUUUAGUAGCACCAUAUUCCAGAACACAGGGAUGGUGUCUCAAAGAGGAGGAUCUCAUCAUUGUCCAACAAAUCGGCUUUUCCCUUUUUUUUUUUCUUUCUUUCGGCUUUUCCCUUUAAUCUACUCCCCCGCCUCAUCUCAAAUUCCAGGAACCAGGAGCCUUUGAGGGUGGGGGUGGGAUUCCCCCCACCCCCCACCUCCCCAGUGCUUGAAGGACCCCGAGACCAGAGGUCUAUUGUCAGUAUCCACAGCCAGGCAAGAGGAUGCUGGUCUCCCUGCUCUUUUCAAUAUGGCCUGACUGUAUAAAUUCCUUUUCGGCUUCAUCACUCUCUUUCCCAUUUGGUCCUGUGGGACAAACAAGAAACAUCUGAAGAAGCAGGACAGGAGCUGUGUUCUGGGGCCUGGGAACAUGAACUCAGUUUUGACUCUGUCAGCCAGGUGGACCUCAGGAAAUCCCCUCCUGACACAUCAAGGCCUGCUGUCUUCCAGUUGCCCUGUAGCAGUUCUGCAGGCUUCUUCCCAGCAAAGUCAGCAUCCUCCAGCAGAGUUCCAAAGUUCCGUGUCCUCUCCAGCUGCCUUUACUCCUCCGUGGAACCGAACCACAAGCAGGGGCUCCCUUCUCCAGGACCUUGGGCAAUGGGAGGAGGGACUGGAAGCCAGUGUGAUGCAGUCUACAGAAGAAAUCCCAGAGACAAGGCCCUGACAUGAUACGGUCUAGGGUGCUCCAUUGGAUUUGUUAUCUCUCCAGGUGAAGAGUUAAAAGGCAGGAAAAAAAAUCUGAAACAAGUGGCAGAGAAAUCUCAAGCACUGUAGACCAGACUAGCAGUUAAAGAAAGGUGUUUAAUGGGGGACCGGGGAGGACCACAUGCACACAGCAGAUAAGCAGAGCAGUGGAGGGGGUUAUCUCAGGUCUUAGAAAGACAGAAACCAGGGGCUGGGGAUUUAGCUCAGCGGUAGAGCGCUUGCCUAGGAAGCACAAGGCCC
RNAcentral lists this small RNA (1408 nucleotides) under Rattus norvegicus (Norway rat). RNAcentral's name for it is "uncharacterized LOC102552812". The record is from RNAcentral. Lineage: Eukaryota; Metazoa; Chordata; Mammalia; Rodentia; Muridae.